RNAcentral lists this ribosomal RNA (374 nucleotides) under uncultured organism. RNAcentral describes it as "bacterial SSU rRNA". It matches the Rfam family "Bacterial small subunit ribosomal RNA", at positions 527 to 896 of the family's 1533-position model. The record is from RNAcentral.
GGAGGGCGCGAGCGUUGUUCGGAAUUACUGGGCGUAAAGCGCGCGCAGGUGGGUGCGUAAGUCGGAGGUGAAAGCGCAGGGCUCAACCCUGCGACGCCCUUCGAGACUGCGUGUCUAGGGACCGGUAGAGGUGAGUGGAAUUCCCGGUGUAGCGGUGGAAUGCGUAGAUAUCGGGAAGAACACCGGAGGCGAAGGCGGCUCACUGGGCCGGAUCCGACACUGAGGCGCGAAAGCGGUGGGGAGCAAACAGGAUUAGAUACCCUGGUAGUCCACGACCGUAAACGAGUGGGUGCUAGGUGUCGGGGGGAGCGACCCCCUCGGUGCCGCAGCUAACGCAUUAAGCACCCCGCCUGGGGAGUACGGCCGCAAGGCUG